RNAcentral lists this ribosomal RNA (412 nucleotides) under uncultured bacterium. RNAcentral's name for it is "bacterial SSU rRNA". It matches the Rfam family "Bacterial small subunit ribosomal RNA", at positions 29 to 489 of the family's 1533-position model. The record is from RNAcentral.
AGCGAACGCUGGCGGCAGGCUUAACACAUGCAAGUCGAACGCUCGUCUUCGGACGGGAGUGGCAGACGGGUGAGUAACACGUGGGAACAUACCCUUCGAUUCGGAACAACUCAGGGAAACUUGAGCUAAUACCGGAUACGCCUUACGGGAAGAUUAUCGUCGAAGGAUUGGCCCGCGUCUGAUUAGCUAGUUGGUGAGGUAACGGCUCACCAAGGCGACGAUCAGUAGCUGGCUGAGAGGAUGAUCAGCCACACUGGGACUGAGACACGGCCCAGACUCCUACGGGAGGCAGCAGUGGGGAAUAUUGGACAAUGGGCGAAAGCCUGAUCCAGCCAUGCCGCGUGAGUGAUGAAGGCCUUAGGGUUGUAAAGCUCUUUUGUGCGGGAAGAUAAUGACGGUACCGCAAGAAUAA